This is a long non-coding RNA of Xenopus laevis (African clawed frog), 783 nucleotides long. RefSeq lists it as uncharacterized. Lineage: Eukaryota; Metazoa; Chordata; Amphibia; Anura; Pipidae. The transcript has 4 exons. The record is from RefSeq and is a predicted model, not a curated record.
ACAUUUUUCAGCCAGCGGAGAAACCAUUCUAUACCAAUCCAUGAACAUGCCAUUCGUGGUUAUGGAUUGGUACAGAAUAGUUUCCCCCAAAACACCUCCCUCCACCCUUUGUAACAGUUGAUUUGCAGCCCAUUCAGGUCAAAGGCAAGCGGCAUGGGCUGGUAUUCAGCAUUUAACUUCUGUUUCAGAACUUUUUAUAUUAGCUUUAGUUGAAAUGUAAAUAUAAUUCUUUUAAUAUAUUGGUUAUUUCAGCACAAAAAGCUAAUUGAUUCCGUUGUCAUCUGUGAAUUUCAUUGGCGGAUCAAGCUGUCCCUCAGGAACAACAGUUUUGUGGGCACCAACCUAUAUAUCAGGGCUCCUGACUUGUUGGAGGACAGUCAUCCUUACCUGGGAAAUAGAUGGUUAGCAUCCAGCACCCUGAAAGAAUUCUCUCAUCUUUGCGGAGGAAGUUUCUUGAAUGACAUUUGGAUUCUGACCGCAGCCCAUUGUUUUAAGCAUCUCCAAAGGAAGGAAGAAACAAAUACCUGGAGGCACGUAUUUGUAGGAAACAACUUAAUGAUUCUUGACUCAUCAUCGCAAAUCCAAAGGAUAAAAGAAGUCAAACAGCCCAAAACCUGUAAUCCAAAAAGAGAGAGAACCAUCAGAAGUUUUGCAAGAAGCCCAUGUGCAUCAAAUUGAUUCUAAGAAAUGUAACGAAAGACUGGUAGGAUGGCACCAAAGGGGAAUACGAUAUAUGUGCAUGCCAUGAGAAAGGAGACAUUGACAGCUGACAGGUACUUGAGA